AGAGAGGAGAGCUCAGGUCAAGCCAAGCGCCCAGAGAGUCAGCAGAAGGCUGUGGGUCUUUCUUUGUCCUUGUCUUGGUCCCCUUCCCGAUGGCCCACGGCUUCUCCACUACCUGACCCACUGUGGUGACUGGUCGUGACCCCGGAAUCGGGAAGAGGGGAAGAAUUAGGCUAACACCCCUGGCCAAUUGAGCGGCGAGAGGAACUGACUUACUAGAGUGAUUGACUUAGUAAAACUGCAUCAGGUUAUUCCUGAUUUGCUGUUUCUCUCUUUAUGGUCUUCUAACGCAGUGGUCAUCACAGGGAUUGACUAUUGAAUCCAAACGUCGGGGACCAAGGAGACCAAACGGGCACCAAAUUCCCAAAGAGGUCGAAAAGAGAAAGAAAAAGCCCUUUUUUUUGCCAGUCUCAUACCAAUGGGGAGAGAUCUACAUUUACCAUCAGUUUGGACGAUAUAUUAGAAUCGCCUGGAGGGUUUUAAAAGCAUUGGUUCCAUUGGGUUGUGAUGAUCCUUGUACAACUAUAAAUGUCAUAAAAUUCAUUGAGUAAUAAUACAAAAAAAAAGAAAGAAAAAAGAGAAGGAAAAAUAAAUUGGUUCCCCGGGCUCUUCCGUCCAACAAUGAAAUCUGUGCCUUUGUAGGGGAGGGCUCUGGCCUUGGUAGUUUAUAACCUCCCAGGAGAUUCUGAGACAAAGCCCAAGUUGGGAAGGUAGUGAUCUCUGAAGUUGGGACUGUAAGCUGAUUCCAAAUCUGCUUGGGAAAAACGACUUCAGGAAAACCUGCUAUGAACGAGCCCACUUGCCAUCCACCAUUGAGGCCUGCUGGACCCAGGCUCGGUUUGAAGGCCCUGUCAGAUGAAACGGUUUAAAUGAAAGGGGAUGAGGUCUGGUAAAGGCAAGUCACUAAAUGCAACGAAAAAUGGACACUUCAGCAAUUUCUUCUAUUCAAGAAGGCAGGGGAUUGCUUAAAAUUUGGGGGGAGAAUUUCUAUCUAAAAUUUUAAAAGUCCUAAGAAAUUAUUUGUGUUUGAAGAAUCUCGCCUCUGGGGACACCUUCCUCCCCAAGGGUGCUGAUGGACACACGGACAAACCAGUCGUCGGGUCCUGGGCACGGGGGCUGUGCCAUCUCGAGAUAGAAGCUCCUCAUUGGACUUUUACGUGACGUUUGAUUGCCUUUUUGUUUUACGUUUUUCAUCUGCUUAAACCAUUCUACCAGGGAACUGCAAUCUUAGGACAAAGGGCAUGUCCCGUCGCAUAUGCUAGGCCCUGCUGUGGCUUCCGGUUGAGACAGUGCCUGGUUUUCUGAAUCCUCCCUGGAUUUGACCUGAUUUGAGGCUUCAAU
Molecule: long non-coding RNA, 1338 nt
Organism: Sus scrofa (pig)
Lineage: Eukaryota; Metazoa; Chordata; Mammalia; Artiodactyla; Suidae
Source: RefSeq, a predicted model, not a curated record